This 78-nucleotide transfer RNA is filed under the name Hadesarchaea archaeon. RNAcentral's name for it is "tRNA-Arg". It matches the Rfam family "tRNA". Rfam says of the family: Transfer RNA (tRNA) molecules are approximately 80 nucleotides in length. Their secondary structure includes four short double-helical elements and three loops (D, anti-codon, and T loops). Lineage: Archaea; Methanobacteriati; Hadarchaeota (SeqCode); Hadarchaeia (SeqCode). RNAcentral also lists the same sequence under 1 other name. The record is from RNAcentral.
GGGCCCGUGGCCAAGUCAGGAUAAGGCAGCAGCCUCCUAAGCUGCAAAUCGUGGGUUCAAAUCCCACCGGGCCCGCCA